This 254-nucleotide ribosomal RNA is filed under the name uncultured bacterium. RNAcentral's name for it is "partial 16S ribosomal RNA". It matches the Rfam family "Bacterial small subunit ribosomal RNA", at positions 524 to 776 of the family's 1533-position model. The record is from RNAcentral.
UACGUAGGGUGCGAGCGUUGUCCGGAAUUAUUGGGCGUAAAGGGCUCGUAGGCGGUCUGUUGCGUCGGGAGUGAAAACUCAGGGCUUAACCCUGAGCCUGCUUCCGAUACGGGCAGACUAGAGGUAUGCAGGGGAGAACGGAAUUCCUGGUGUAGCGGUGAAAUGCGCAGAUAUCAGGAGGAACACCGAUGGCGAAGGCAGGUCACGUGGGCCGCAACUGACGCUGAGGAGCGAAAGCAUGGGGAGCGAACAGG